RNAcentral lists this ribosomal RNA (450 nucleotides) under uncultured bacterium. RNAcentral's name for it is "partial 16S ribosomal RNA". It matches the Rfam family "Bacterial small subunit ribosomal RNA", at positions 354 to 796 of the family's 1533-position model. The record is from RNAcentral.
GUGGGGAAUUUUGGACAAUGGGCGCAAGCCUGAUCCAGCAAUGCCGCGUGCAGGAAGAAGGCCUUCGGGUUGUAAACUGCUUUUGUACGGAACGAAACGGCUCUGGUUAAUACCUGGGGCUAAUGACGGUACCGUAAGAAUAAGCACCGGCUAACUACGUGCCAGCAGCCGCGGUAAUACGUAGGGUGCAAGCGUUAAUCGGAAUUACUGGGCGUAAAGCGUGCGCAGGCGGUUUUGUAAGACAGGCGUGAAAUCCCCGGGCUCAACCUGGGAAUGGCGCUUGUGACUGCAAAGCUGGAGUGCGGCAGAGGGGGAUGGAAUUCCGCGUGUAGCAGUGAAAUGCGUAGAUAUGCGGAGGAACACCGAUGGCGAAGGCAAUCCCCUGGGCCUGCACUGACGCUCAUGCACGAAAGCGUGGGGAGCAAACAGGAUUAGAAACCCUAGUAGUCC